This 4740-nucleotide long non-coding RNA is filed under the name Canis lupus familiaris (dog). RNAcentral describes it as "lncRNA (ENSCAFG00040009521.1)". Lineage: Eukaryota; Metazoa; Chordata; Mammalia; Carnivora; Canidae. The record is from RNAcentral.
CACCGUCCAGGAGUUGUGAACACGCCAGCUUCACACAGAGGACCUGUCCUGGACCCCGUGGCCCCAACCUAUAAAUUACAUACUCUCGGGCUGAUUGCCCUCUGGGGCUAUUCCCAGCGGGCACAUCCCUUCAUUAAUGGCAGAGAGAACAAUUCUUUCAGGACAGGAUUUCCUGAGUGUCAUCUGACCAUCACUGGGCGUGCAGGGUUACGGGAAAGGUACCACUUGGCUAAGGAAAAUGUGAAUGCCAGACCACAAAUGGUUGGUCCAGAGCACUUUGAGUCUGCACAAAUUAGUGAUCCCAUUAGCAUUAAAAGGAGGCUAAUCUCAGAGGGAAAAAAAAAAAAAAGGAAUAAACUGAUACAUGCAAUGACAUGGAUAGAUCUUAAAAGCCUUAUGCUAAGUGAAAGCAUUAUGCCAGAUUCAAAAGACCACAUACUAUAGGCUUGAUUUUAUGACAUCCCAAAAAAGACAAAACUAUAGGGACAGAAAUCAGAUCAGUGGUCUCCAAAAGUGGGAAAAGGGAUUGCCCACAAAGAAACAUGAAAGAGAUUUUUCAGAUAAUGGAAAUCUUUUCUAUCUUGAUUGUGGUGUUAAACUACUAUAUAAAUUUGUCAAAAUUUAUUGAACUGUACACAUAAAAAAGUCACUUUUUAUUAAGUAUAAAUCAUAUUUGAAUAAGCAAAAAAAAAAAAAGAUUUUGCUUACAAAGGCCAAAGCCAGUAUAUAUGACAACUCUACCACUAUUUCUCCCUGAGACCUUGAGCAUAUUCUGAAACUCCUUAUAAAGGUCUAGAAUUACAUCAAUUCACUUUAAAAUUGUACCCCAAAGUAGCCUAGACCUGGAAAGCCAUUUCAGUAGAGACUAGUUAAUUAAAAAAAAAAAAAAAAAAAAAAAAAAAAAACUCCAGGUGUGCCAGAAAGUUCCUGGAAUAAUCUUAGCAUUUGUUUUGGCCAAAAUCUGUUUCCCAUGGUCAGCAACAACAUGUGGAGCUGGACUUUGCCAGAAAAUAUUCCUCUGGCUGCUUUCUCUUUGCACAGCAUUCAGAACGUUGUGUGCCUUUAGAGAAGGGCUAGUUAACAUAAAAAUGCGAUCAAUUACACAUAACAGCAGUUAUAUUUCAGCAUAAAAACUUUUAGAAAAUGUUCAUCUUACAAAAUCCCUUUAUUUUUUAAAGAUUUUAUUUGAGGGAUCCCUGGGUGGCGCAGCGGUUUAGCGCCUGCCUUUGGCCCAGGGCGCGAUCCUGGAGACCCGGGAUCGAAUCCCACGUCAGGCUCCCAGUGCAUGGAGCCUGCUUCUCCCUCUGCCUGUGUCUCUGCCUCUCUCUCUCUCUCUGUGACUAUCAUAAAUAAAUUUAAAAAAAAAAAAAAAAAAAAAAAAAAGAUUUUAUUUGAGAGAGAGAGAGAGAGAAUGAGCAAGAGAGGGGCAGAGGCAGAGGAGAAGCAGCCUCCCUGCUGAGCAGGAAGCCCAAUGUUGGGCUCCCUCCCAGGACCCGGGAUCGAGACCUGAGCAGACGGUAGAUGCUUAACCCACUGAGCCACCCAGGUGUCCCCCCCCCAAUUUUUUUACAUGGGAAUAUCUUGCAUAGAAAAAAUUGGGACGUCUGGGUGGCUCAGGGCUUGGGUGCCUGCCUCUGGCUCAGGUCAUGAUCCCAGGGUCCUGGGAUCGAGUCCCCCAUCGGGCUCCCUGCGGGGAGCCUGCUUCUCCCUCUGCCUGUGUCUCUCAUGAAUAAAGAAAUAAAAUCUUAAAAAGAAAAACAUUAUUUUAUCCUCUUUAUACCUCUUCAAUGAUAUCAAUAAUUUACUUAAGAAAGUAAAAUAUAAAACAUUAAAUAUUUUCUUUUUUUAAGAUUUAUUUAUUUAUUUGGGGAGAGGGGCAGAGAGAGAGGGAGGGAGGAAGAGAGAGUCUGAAGCAGACUCCAUGCUGGCCGCAGAGCCCGAUGCAGGGCUCCAUCUCACCACCCUGAGAUCAUGAUCUGUGCGGAAACCAAGAGUUGGCUGCUUCACUGACUGCAGCACCCCGGUGCCCCCCUAAUGUUUUCUCACAGUGGUUAAGCCUGUUCCCUAAUGCUGUUAAAAGAGACACUUUAGCUUCCCAUUUUUGGCUUAGAUGAUACUUCUGAAUUAACAACUGAAAUUAUAUUGGAUUAAAAAAAAAAGAAAUUAUAUUGGAUAAAAUUCUAAACAUAUUUCUAUUUUUUUUUCUAAACAUAUUUCUAAAUGCAUAUUAGCCAUUAGUCUAAUGCUUAAAUGAAACGGUGUUGGCACAAUGAGAAUUGAACAGAACAGUCACUAAAACUAGGUAACAGGGACUAAAAAGCUUAUAAAUGACUUUCCUACAUCAUUAUCCCCUUUGGCCUUGUUCACAUGGUUCUUUACAGUCACUAACUAAAUAUACUAAAUAAACAUACAUAACAAAUAUGAAUAAAAUCUGAGAAAUUUGAUCUUUUUCUAUGAUUUAAAAAAUCCAGAUAUUUAAAACCACAUAGACUAAGCAUUCAAACAUUUGAAUAUCCCUUCUUCACGUUACCUAAAUGUUUUGACUUUUUAGAGCAGGAAAAUUAGGAGGAAGAAAUAAUGGGACUAAAAUGAACCAAGCAGAAAUUUUUCCUUUGGGUAGAUUUUGAGAAACAGCUGAUAGGCAUUUGAAUGAAUAUUUGUACUUUUCAAAACAGUGGACAAUCUCCAAUAUCCAUUCUAAAAUUUGAAUAGUGAUUUCCUACUACCUUGCCUCCAAUCUUCCAAUGUGGUUAAUCUUGAGAGGUCAUUCGGAGAUCAAGAGUCCUCUGUUUGUGUAGCUGUAAAAUGUACAGCAACUCCCACCAAAUUUCCCAAGCUUGCUUCGGUGGGAUGCAUGUUUCCUGGUUGCAGAAUCGAACAUAAUACCCUUAUAAACACAGCAGUUCUGCUGAGUAACCAAACUUAACCUCUCAAAACAAAGCAUUUCUAUUAAAAUAACUUGUUUGGCACAUCAUUAGGGUUGUACUAUUAUUAGUUCCAGGCAAACAGAUGUCUUCCUGGAUGAAAUCCAAGCCAGGCAUCUUUUCCUUCUUUCUUUCUUUCUUUUUUUUUUUUUUUUUUUUUUUUUUGGCAAGUUGGUGAUAUGCUAAAUUAUACUUUUUCUAGCUCAAUAAGCUUUUAGCAUUAGGAAGAGCUACAAUCUUGCAAUUCCAUUUGACUUGAAUUUUUAAUCUAUUUUAUAGUACAUAUUAUAGCAAUUUGAUUCCUUACAAAAGCAAGAUAGUCAAUUCCAUGUUUUCUAAAAAUGUAGAUAUACUGGUCAAUGACAUAAAAACAUCCAAGACCAAAAUACUUGUAAUGUUAAGAGUAUCAACAAUAUCCAUUCUUUUACAAAAGAAAAAUAUGUGUUAAUAUUAUUACUGAAAUAUCCAUAGUAAAAAAAAUAAAUAAAUAAAAAUAAAAAAUAAAAAAAAAGAAAAUAUCCAUAGUAAUGUUAAAUAUCAAAGCAUCCUUCAAUAGCACCACCAUCUGAAAGGGACUUUAAAAUGUACUAAACACUUAUACCAGAAUUCUUUCUUUUACUAUAAAAAAUGAAAAUUCCCUUUUUUCUUUUCCCAUUUAAGUACAUGUUUUAGCAAUGUUUGCAUAGUAAAAGUAAUUUAAAAAUUUAAGAACCAUUGCAGAGACAACUACUUUUCCCAUUAUACAUUUUCACCUUCUUCCUUAUGGUAAUAGAGUGCCCGGAACACCUUGUUACCCAGGUAGAUCCCAUAAUUACCAGCUUCCCCUAACACCACAAAUGGUCCUAUGCCUGUGUUCUGGCCAAGGGGACAUGAUCAGAAGUGAUGAGUGGUGCUUCUGGAUCAUUUCUUUAAAUAGAAGUUGCAAAUAAAUAAAUAAAUAAAUAAAUAGAAGUUGCUCUCUCUUUUCUUUUCUUCUUCAAUAUCCCCUUGCCCCCUUCCUGGGGACUGCUACCAAUGAGCUAGCGUUGGCAGUUGGGAAUAAGAAUCAACAAAAUAGAAGGAACCUCAAAUUCUGACUGACCUUAAAAGCCACCAUAUAUUUAAUUAUUUAUUAUAGCUGUUUAGCCUAUUUGGUGCAUCAGUUUUUAUGAUGUGGUUGGUUAAUCAGCACAAUAUAAAAUGCAAAAAGAUUUCAGAUGUCACAUCAUCGUGUCUGGUGACAUUCUGGGGGGGAUUUUCCAUCCGCAUGGUUCAGGAAAGGAACACCUCUUCACGGAUCUUUUCUACAGAGACACAAAAACUCAAGAUCUGAUCACGCAGAGUACGGCACUGUGCUAACCAUCGAGAAGGCUUCAUGACUGGAUACGUGGCCUGUGUCAGGCCCAUAAAAUCCUCCCCAGCUUUUUUUGUUAAAACUAUCAGCAGAAAGAUCCAUCUUCUCCUUCAGAGUUUAAAACACUAAGUACUAAGCAAGUUUGGAUUAUUGAUGUGCUCUUGGCCACCCAAGUGGGAAAAUCUGCUUAGAAAUAAAUGCAACAGUAAGAAAACAAAGCCAAGAGCAGAAGAAAGAGGGGGAAUCUUGAUGAUAUUAUUUAAGUUCCUGCAUCCGGCUGUGCUAAAGCCACAUGCCUUCUGGGCCUCCCACUUUUCUGGGCCAAUAAAUUCCCACUGAUCAUUAAAACUAAUUAAAGUUGGAUUUUUAUAAUUUGCAGUUAAAUAACUCUAGUCAUAGCUGUUAAUUGUAGUCAUUUUAAUUGACAGAAAAUAUCAAGACUUUUAAUCUAAAAGUAGUUCUUAACUUCAAACUCAUCCCCAC